RNAcentral lists this ribosomal RNA (305 nucleotides) under uncultured bacterium. RNAcentral's name for it is "bacterial SSU rRNA". It matches the Rfam family "Bacterial small subunit ribosomal RNA", at positions 332 to 636 of the family's 1533-position model. The record is from RNAcentral.
UCGGCCCUACGGGAGGCAGCAGUGAGGAAUAUUGGUCGAUGGUCGGGAGACUGAACCAGCCAAGCCGCGUGAGGGAGGAAGGUACAGAGUAUCGUAAACCUCUUUUGUCAGGGAACAAAGACUGGGACGCGUCCCCGGAUGAGUGUACCUGAAGAAAAAGCAUCGGCUAACUCCGUGCCAGCAGCCGCGGUAAUACGGAGGAUGCGAGCGUUAUCCGGAUUUAUUGGGUUUAAAGGGUGCGCAGGCGGUCUGUUAAGUCAGCGGUCAAAGCCCGGGGCUCAACCCCGGCCCGCCGAUGACACUGG